AACGAACGCUGGCGGCAGGCUUAACACAUGCAAGUCGAGCGCCCCGCCAGGGGAGCGGCAGACGGGUGAGUAACGCGUGGGAACGUACCUUUUGGUUCGGAACAACUCCGGGAAACUGGAGCUAAUACCGGAUAAGCCCUAACGGGGAAAGAUUUAUCGCCGAAAGAUCGGCCCGCGUCUGAUUAGCUAGUUGGUGAGGUAACGGCUCACCAAGGCGACGAUCAGUAGCUGGUCUGAGAGGAUGAUCAGCCACACUGGGACUGAGACACGGCCCAGACUCCUACGGGAGGCAGCAGUGGGGAAUAUUGGACAAUGGGCGCAGGCCUGAUCCAGCCAUGCCGCGUGAGUGAUGAAGGCCUUAGGGUUGUAAAGCUCUUUUGUCCGGGAAGAUAAUGACUGUACCGGAAGAAUAAGCCCCGGCUAACUUCGUG
RNAcentral lists this ribosomal RNA (431 nucleotides) under uncultured bacterium. Its description in RNAcentral is "partial 16S ribosomal RNA". It matches the Rfam family "Bacterial small subunit ribosomal RNA", at positions 29 to 507 of the family's 1533-position model. The record is from RNAcentral.